CAUGGUUGUCGUCAGCUCGUGUCGUGAGAUGUUGGGUUAAGUCCCGCAACGAGCGCAACCCUCGACCUUAGUUGCCAGCAUUCAGUUGGGCACUCUAAGGUGACUGCCGGCUAAAAGUCGGAGGAAGGUGGGGAUGACGUCAAAUCAUCAUGCCCCUUAUGACCUGGGCUACACACGUGCUACAAUGGGCGGUACAAAGGGUCGCGAACCCGCGAGGGGGGAGCCAAUCCCAAAAAGCCGCUCUCAGUUCGGAUUGCAGGCUGCAACUCGCCUGCAUGAAGCCGGAAUCGCUAGUAAUCGCGGAUCAGCAUGCCGCGGUGAAUACGUUCCCGGGCCUU
This 338-nucleotide ribosomal RNA is filed under the name uncultured Anoxybacillus sp. RNAcentral's name for it is "bacterial SSU rRNA". It matches the Rfam family "Bacterial small subunit ribosomal RNA", at positions 1044 to 1382 of the family's 1533-position model. Lineage: Bacteria; Bacillati; Bacillota; Bacilli; Caryophanales; Anoxybacillaceae. The record is from RNAcentral.